UAGAGUUUGAUCCUGGCUCAGGAUGAACGCCGGCGGUGUGCCUAAUACAUGCAAGUCGUACGCACUGGCCCAACUGAUUGAUGGUGCUUGCACCUGAUUGACGAUGGAUCACCAGUGAGUGGCGGACGGGUGAGUAACACGUAGGUAACCUGCCCCGGAGCGGGGGAUAACAUUUGGAAACAGAUGCUAAUACCGCAUAACAACAAAAGCCACAUGGCUUUUGUUUGAAAGAUGGCUUUGGCUAUCACUCUGGGAUGGACCUGCGGUGCAUUAGCUAGUUGGUAAGGUAACGGCUUACCAAGGCGAUGAUGCAUAGCCGAGUUGAGAGACUGAUCGGCCACAAUGGAACUGAGACACGGUCCAUACUCCUACGGGAGGCAGCAGUAGGGAAUCUUCCACAAUGGGCGCAAGCCUGAUGGAGCAACACCGCGUGAGUGAAGAAGGGUUUCGGCUCGUAAAGCUCUGUUGUUGGAGAAGAACGUGCGUGAGAGUAACUGUUCACGCAGUGACGUAUCCACCAGAAUGCGAU
RNAcentral lists this ribosomal RNA (529 nucleotides) under Limosilactobacillus reuteri. RNAcentral describes it as "bacterial SSU rRNA". It matches the Rfam family "Bacterial small subunit ribosomal RNA", at positions 1 to 494 of the family's 1533-position model. Lineage: Bacteria; Bacillati; Bacillota; Bacilli; Lactobacillales; Lactobacillaceae. The record is from RNAcentral.